GACGAACGCUGGCGGCGUGCUUAACACAUGCAAGUCGUACGGUAAGGCCCUUUCGGGGGUACACGAGUGGCGAACGGGUGCGUAACACGUGAGUAACCUGCCCACAACUUUGGGAUAACGCUAGGAAACUGGUGCUAAUACUGGAUAUGUGCUCCUGCUGCAUGGUGGGGGUUGGAAAGCUCCGGCGGUUGUGGAUGGACUCGCGGCCUAUCAGCUUGUUGGUGGGGUAGUGGCCUACCAAGGCGGCGACGGGUAGCCGGCCUGAGAGGGUGACCGGCCACAUUGAGACUGAGAUACGGCCCAGACUCCUACGGGAGGCAGCUGUGGGGAAUAUUGCACAAGGGGCGCCAGCCGGAUGCAGCAGCGCCGCGUGCGGGAUGACGGCCUUAGGGUUGUAAACCGCUUUCAGCAGGGACGAAGCUUUUUGUGACGGUACCUGCAGAAGAAGCACCGGCUAACUACGUG
This 465-nucleotide ribosomal RNA is filed under the name uncultured bacterium. RNAcentral's name for it is "partial 16S ribosomal RNA". It matches the Rfam family "Bacterial small subunit ribosomal RNA", at positions 28 to 507 of the family's 1533-position model. The record is from RNAcentral.